RNAcentral lists this ribosomal RNA (292 nucleotides) under uncultured bacterium. Its description in RNAcentral is "partial 16S ribosomal RNA". It matches the Rfam family "Bacterial small subunit ribosomal RNA", at positions 505 to 796 of the family's 1533-position model. The record is from RNAcentral.
GUGUCAGCAGCCGCGGUAAGACAGAGGGUGCAAACGUUGUUCGGAAUUACUGGGCGUAAAGCGAGUGUAGGCGGUUCGAUAAGUCGGGUGUGAAAGCCCUGGGCUCAACCCAGGAAGUGCACUCGAAACUACCGGGCUAGAGUAUCGGAGAGGUUGGUGGAAUUCUCGGUGUAGAGGUGAAAUUCGUAGAUAUCGAGAGGAACACCGGUGGCGAAGGCGGCCAACUGGACGAAUACUGACGCUGAGACUCGAAAGCGUGGGGAGCAAACAGGAUUAGAUACCCGCGUAGUCC